Molecule: ribosomal RNA, 1414 nt
Filed under: uncultured bacterium
Lineage: Bacteria
Description: bacterial SSU rRNA
Rfam family: Bacterial small subunit ribosomal RNA
Source: RNAcentral
AAGCAAUUGGGGCUACCGAAAGGGCUGCUAAUACCCAAUAAUACUAUAGGUGCAAAAGCACUUGUGGUCAAAUGCUAGGAAUUCUGUUCCUUGUGCUUAAAGAGGGGUUAAUGUCCUAUCAGCUAGUUGGUGGGGUAAUGGCCAUACCAAGGCAAAGACGGGUAGCCGGCUUGAGAGGGUGGUCGGCCACACUGGGACUGAGACACUGCCCAGACUCCUACGGGAGGCUGCAGUCGAGAAUCUUUCGCAAUGCCCGAAAGGUGACGAAGCGACGCCGCGUGUGGGAAGAAGGCCUUCGGGUUGUAAACCACUGUCGGGAGUUAGGAAAUGCAGAGUGCGUUAAUAGCGCACUUGCUUGACUAAGGCUCCAGAGGAAGCCACGGCUAACUCUGUGCCAGCAGCCGCGGUAAUACAGAGGCGGCAAGCGUUGUUCGGAAUUAUUGGGCGUAAAGAGCACGUAGGCGGCCUUGCAAGUCAGUUGUGAAAGCCUUCCGCUUAACGGAAGAACGGCAUCUGAUACUACAGGGCUUGAGUACGGGAGGGGAGAGUGGAACUUCUGGUGGAGCGGUGAAAUGCGUAAAUAUCAGAAGGAACGCCGGCGGCANAAGCGACUCUCUGGUCCGAAACUGACGCUGAGUGUGCGAAAGCAAGGGGAGCAAACGGGAUUAGAUACCCCGGUAGUCCUACCCGUAAACGAUGGGCACUAAGUAGAGGGGUUUUGAUUAUUUCUCUGCCGGAGCUAACGCAUUAAGUGCCCCGCCUGGGGAGUACGGCCGCAAGGCUAAAAACUCAAAAGAAUUGACGGGGGCUCGCACAAGCGGUGGAGCAUGUGGCUUAAUUCGAUGCAACGCGAAGAACCUUACCGGGGCUUGACAUGGUAGAAGUAGAAUCCUGAAAGGGUGAACGAUCGGUAUCCAGUCCGAAGCUAUCACAGGUGUUGCAUGGCUGUCGUCAGCUCGUGCGUGAGACGUUGGGUUAAGUCCCCUAACGAGCGAAACCCUUGUCUUUAGUUGCUAACGGGUAAUGCUGAGCACUUUAGAGAGACUGCCGUCGUUAAGACGAGANNNAGACGACGUCAAGUACAUUCAUGCCAUUAUGUCCCGGACUGCACACGUGCUACAAUGGUCGGUACAAAGGGAUGCUAAGUCGACGAGAUGGUGACGAAACCUAAUAAAGCCGAUCUCAGUUCAGAUUGGAGGCUAGAAACUCGCCAUCACAUGAAGUUGGAAUCGCUAGUAAUCGCGGAUCACGUACGCACGCGGUGAAUAUGUUCACCGAGCUCUUAGUAUCACACUCGCCCGUCAAUGCUCACCACAAGCAAGAUGCACCACAAAAUCGCCUGCCUAACCCGUAAGGGAGGGAAGUGACCUAAGGUGUGUUUUAGUGAGAAGGACUAAGUCGUAACAAGGUAACC